CUUGCUUUUAACUCAUGGAACUAAACUCGGGUAUCAGUUCAUGCGAAGUCCCGCUGUCUGUCUGGUAGUGGAACUCGUUCGGUACGUGAACGAGGACCACCUGGUAGAAGGGUACUUGACCUGCGGUUAACCGCAGAAACCACAAGUUAAUGAUCGCCACGCGGCCUGCUGUAGGGGGUCGUCGUUUGCUUGAUAGUUCGGUAGAUCCCGUUCGGUACUUUCGAUGCGAACGUCGAUGCCC
This is a non-coding RNA of Pelobates cultripes (western spadefoot toad), 241 nucleotides long. NCBI's taxonomy places the organism in Eukaryota, Metazoa, Chordata, Amphibia, Anura, Pelobatidae. The record is from the annotation of a GenBank genome assembly.